CGUACUAAGCAAGCUACAAAUGUACUAACUUCUCUAGUGUAAUCCAGGGGCAUACAAAUAACACUGGGAAUACUGCAGAACUUACAUGCAAGGCUGGAAGAAGAUGAGAAAGUUGGCAGUAGCAAGUCAACCAGACCUCUGGAAUCAUAGAUACAGCUACAUUAAUUAAUUAUAGGCAGUGUGAGCGUGCAUGUGCGGAGGUGUGUGUGGCUAAGUAAGCCACCUUUCAUGUUUACACAUGUAGAAAGCUAACAACAUGUUGAUAGCAAUACAUCCAUUACUGUAUGAUAACCAUUGUGUAGAAAGGCUAUAGCAACAUAGUUGGAAUUAAGCACUUCAAAAGAAGUCCGACUUUCACUAUUGGUGUCACUGCUGGAGGUUCCAUUAAGACUACUCUCCACAUUACUUAUUGGUGUCACUGUAAACACCCACUGGUCUUGAUCACUUGCAUGUACUGCUUCUCUUUUGAUCUCUGGCGGCCUAGCUAAUACCUGCAUGCAGAGCUCUAUAUUUUAUAUAUAUAUAGCCUGUCUAUUAUCUUGUGUAUAUCCCCUAAAAUUCCUCUCUCCUCUUGUCCAGGUUGAGAAUGAUGUGUCCGAGUUCUCUCUCUCUGUGUUCUAUAUAUGACAAUGGCCGCAAAGAGUUGUGUAAGGACGAUGACUACCCACUCAAGCUACGACUCAAGUUAGGACCCUCUGAAGAUAUUGCUAAACUGUUUGUCACACUGUAAAAACACCCCGGUGAAGGUCACCAAUUUGAGUGGUGAGCUUCACCAUUUUUCUACUUCACCAGUGUAAAAGACUGAAAUUGUCACUAUAGUUUUGUUUUUACAGUGCAUUGAAACCUCAGAGGUGGAGGAGAUUCUGUCAGCAGAGGCUUCACAGUGGAUCAAGUUCACUGUGUACGAACUGGAGACAUUCUGCACCAAAUUCACGGAGGAGGAGGAAAAGGAAGAAAAGAGGAUUAGAUCAAGGUUUGGUCGCUGGAGAGGAGAGGUUAAAUAUGCACUGAAUAGUUCACAAACAGACACUUAGCACUUAGAGUACAGUUGUUGUGUAAUAAUUACUUGUGAUAAAGUG
Long non-coding RNA from Halichondria panicea, 1079 nucleotides. RefSeq lists it as uncharacterized. The record is from RefSeq and is a predicted model, not a curated record. The transcript has 3 exons. Lineage: Eukaryota; Metazoa; Porifera; Demospongiae; Suberitida; Halichondriidae.